This 489-nucleotide ribosomal RNA is filed under the name uncultured bacterium. RNAcentral's name for it is "partial 16S ribosomal RNA". It matches the Rfam family "Bacterial small subunit ribosomal RNA", at positions 30 to 506 of the family's 1533-position model. The record is from RNAcentral.
AUUGAACGCUGGCGGCAGGCCUAACACAUGCAAGUCGAACGGUAACAGGAAGCAGCUUGCUGCUUUGCUGACGAGUGGCGGACGGGUGAGUAAUGUCUGGGAAACUGCCUGAUGGAGGGGGAUAACUACUGGAAACGGUAGCUAAUACCGCAUAACGUCGCAAGACCAAAGAGGGGGACCUUCGGGCCUCUUGCCAUCGGAUGUGCCCAGAUGGGAUUAGCUAGUAGGUGGGGUAACGGCUCACCUAGGCGACGAUCCCUAGCUGGUCUGAGAGGAUGACCAGCCACACUGGAACUGAGACACGGUCCAGACUCCUACGAGAGGCAGCAGUGGGGAAUAUUGCACAAUGGGCGCAAGCCUGAUGCAGCCAUGCCGCGUGUAUGAAGAAGGCCUUCGGGUUGUAAAGUACUUUCAGCGGGGAGGAAGGGAGUAAAGUUAAUACCUUUGCUCAUUGACGUUACCCGCAGAAGAAGCACCGGCUAACUCCGU